GACGAACGCUGGCGGCGUGCUUAACACAUGCCAGUCGAACGGAAAGGCCCUGCUUUUGUGGGGUGCUCGAGUGGCGAAAGGGUGAGUAACACGUGAGUAACCUGCCCUUGACUUUGGGAUAACUUCAGGAAACUGGGGCUAAUACCGGAUAGGAGCUCCUGCUGCAUGGUGGGGGUUGGAAAGUUUCGGCGGUUGGGGAUGGACUCGCGGCUUAUCAGCUUGUUGGUGGGGUAGUGGCUUACCAAGGCUUUGACGGGUAGCCGGCCUGAGAGGGUGACCGGCCACAUUGGGACUGAGAUACGGCCCAGACUCCUACGGGAGGCAGCAGUGGGGAAUAUUGCACAAUGGGCGGAAGCCUGAUGCAGCAACGCCGCGUGCGGGAUGACGGCCUUCGGGUUGUAAACCGCUUUCGCCUGUGACGAAGCGUGAGUGACGGUAAUGGGUAAAGAAGCACCGGCUAACUACGUG
Molecule: ribosomal RNA, 468 nt
Filed under: uncultured bacterium
Lineage: Bacteria
Description: partial 16S ribosomal RNA
Rfam family: Bacterial small subunit ribosomal RNA
Source: RNAcentral